GAGGGUCCACCCGUUCCCAUCCCGAACACGGAAGUUAAGCUCGCUUCUGCCCACGAUACUUGGCUGGAGACGGCCCGGAAAAAUAGGUAGCGCCAACA
RNAcentral lists this ribosomal RNA (98 nucleotides) under Bacillota bacterium. Lineage: Bacteria; Bacillati; Bacillota. The record is from RNAcentral.